CCUACGGGAGGCAGCAGUGGGGAAUAUUGCACAAUGGGCGCAAGCCUGAUGCAGCCAUGCCGCGUGUGUGAAGAAGGCCUUCGGGUUGUAAAGCACUUUCAGCGGGGAGGAAGGCGGUGAGGUUAAUAACCUCAUCGAUUGACGUUACCCGCAGAAGAAGCACCGGCUAACUCCGUGCCAGCAGCCGCGGUAAUACGGAGGGUGCAAGCGUUAAUCGGAAUUACUGGGCGUAAAACGCACGCAGGCGGUCUGUCAAGUCGGAUGUGAAAUCCCCGGGCUCAACCUGGGAACUGCAUUCGAAACUGGCAGGCUAGAGUCUUGUAGAGGGGGGUAGAAUUCCAGGUGUAGCGGUGAAAUGCGUAGAGAUCUGGAGGAAUACCGGUGGCGAAGGCGGCCCCCUGGACAAAGACUGACGCUCAGGUGCGAAAGCGUGGGGAGCAAACAGGAUUAGAUACCCUAGUAGUC
Molecule: ribosomal RNA, 465 nt
Filed under: uncultured Klebsiella sp.
Lineage: Bacteria; Pseudomonadati; Pseudomonadota; Gammaproteobacteria; Enterobacterales; Enterobacteriaceae
Description: bacterial SSU rRNA
Rfam family: Bacterial small subunit ribosomal RNA
Source: RNAcentral